This 2915-nucleotide long non-coding RNA is filed under the name Canis lupus familiaris (dog). Its description in RNAcentral is "lncRNA (ENSCAFG00000053688.1)". The record is from RNAcentral. Lineage: Eukaryota; Metazoa; Chordata; Mammalia; Carnivora; Canidae.
ACUGGGGCAUGUUAAAACCCAUUUAUUGGUCAAAACUUUACAAACCAAGAACUUUUAGAAAGCGUACAGCAACACGCACAAUGUAGAAAAUAUAAACAUUCACCAUCUCCUAUAAAGACUUUAACAAGAAAUAAACUGUUACUUCACAGUUUUGAGCGAUAUAAAGAAGGAAACCUCUUCCAUACAUGUCUCCAAUUUUUAUUUAGAGAAUUCAAUCGUUUCUUAGAAACACCGUGACUAAAGGUCGCCGUGAUGCUGGAGAAAUCUCCGUAGCAGUUUCUGUUCUCCAUAUACUACGAAAGGGGAGAUGGUCCUUUGAACUAUUUGCACGGCCAGAGGAAUCCAAGUGAGGAUGGUGGAGGCAAAAGUAGUCCACGGAUGAACGUCCAUCUCCCACUGGAUGGUAUGACCACGACAGUACAAAGGCCAGGCUAGAGACCCCAGAGACGCACCAGAGGGGACUUCAGAGAUCAUCCGCUCCCAAGAGGAAGGAGUGAGCCUCCUCAGCAGCCAGUGGAGGACCAGAGGCUAAAGGGUUAUUUGAAACAGGAGCCCGACAGGUAAAAAAGAAAGCACGGUUGUUGUGUUUUCUGGGUGUCUCCAUGUGACUGUCCCCCACUCUGGGCAGCUGGAAUCCAACCAGAAAGGCUGAAGGCUCCAAGUUGGUCUGGAAAUGGAGUAGGGGAGGAAUAUACGGCCCUUGGGAACACAAGGAGGUCAGAUUUAUCUUUAUGCUCAAGAGAGGCUACGAGAAUUCUUAACCAGAAUCUAAGAGCUAUAAAAAAAAAAAAAAAAAGGGCAGCUGUGCAACCAGCUGGAGGAAGCUCGAGCCAGAACAGGCUUGGGGCCGUCGGCACAGGGGCAGGGGCCCUGCUGCCACUUGCCUGUGUAAUGGGAUUGCUCUGCCCCGUAUUAGGGGGAGGACCCUUGGCGGGCUGUCACCGCCUGGCCUGGAGCCCCUCGCCUGCCCCCUGCCCGUGCGGGGGGCCGCCUGCCGCUGGAGUCCUGGACGUCACCCAGGCACACAUGCCAAACCCCCCCGUGGAAGGGAGGAGCAACAGGCGCUGUACUGGUCUCGGAAGAGCUGUUCCAGGUCCCAGCGAGACAGAGCUGGCGCCGGACGUGCUGAAUCCCUCGCUUUAGGAGCGUCCUUAGUCACACUCUGCGUUCUGACCCUCGUGUUUUAUGCAAGGUCAGGGCAACAAACCUGAUCACAGGUUAAUCAACAAGUGUGGGGAGCAGCCACCCUGCUCCGCCGGGGGGCCCAGCUGCUUCGGCUGCAGAAGGACCAACCGCCGGACUCUAGCUCUAAAGCCUGGCUCCCACACACAAUCGUCCCACUGCCAGGUUGGUGCCGUAAGCAUCUCACGGCCCGGCCCUGGGGGCCACAAGCAAACGCGCACACCCCCAGAUCCCGCCACCGAGGAGCCCAUCACCCCACCAGCAACCUAUGGAUUGAGAUAGACCUUCGCCUUCCCAUAUAAGAUAUUAAGGCUCAAGGAGGGGCCCUUGCAGGGCUCAGUGGUUGAGCAUCUGCCUUCAGUUCAGGGCGUGACCCCGGGGUCCUUGGAUUGAGUCCCGCAUCGGGUUCCCCCGACAGAGCCUGCUUCUCCCUCUGCCUGUGUCUCUGCCUCUCUCUCUCUGUGUCUCUCAGGAAUAAAUAAAUAAAAUCUUAAAAAAAAAAAAAAAAGGCACAAGGCUGUGGGUGUUUGUGAAGGAUUAAUUAAAAUAACAGAUAUAGGAUAUUAGAUAAAUCCCUUGGCUUUAAACAUAAAAAAAUCACUUCUGUACUUGCCAUCGCAGAGAAACUGGCACAAUUAGUUGGUUAUAUAAAAGCUGCUUUUUUAAAUUUUCCUUUAAAAAGAUAUACAAAUCCUAUUUGGAGUAACUCUUCCAGCCCCAGAAAUAGACAUUUUAUCACUUAGUUUAAAAACACAAAUACAGUAUCAGAACUUGAGCAGCCUUGGGCUAGUGGGGGGAAAAAAACAACUAACUGACCAAACCAAUCAACGAAUCAACAAAUCCCAUCAACACUGUUUCUGGUCAGAGGAAAAGAAAACAGAGUAAAUGCACCCAAAACUCAUUUUCAUAUUUAACACAAACCUUGGUAAUUUGCAUUGUGGGCGAGGCAGUUUGGAAGAGAUGUGAAGUUACAGAGGGAGGGACACUGCAUCUAGAUGCUGCCUCCUGUGCUUUCCAUGACCAAAGCAUCCCUUCUAUUGAAGGUAGGGAUUUUACUUUUUUUUCCCCAAGAUUUUAUUUAUUUAUUCAUGAGAGACACAGAGAGAGGCAGAGACACAGGCAGAGGGAGAAGCAGGCUCCCUUCAGGGAGCCCGACGUGGGACUGGAUCCCAGGAUCCCGGGGUCAUGACCUGAGCCAAAGGCAGAUGCUUAACCCCUGAGCCACCCAGGUGUCCCGGGAUUUUUACUUUUAAUGCUAUACAUAUAAAGGCUUAGCCAUCAUCCCUGAAGUAUUUGGACUGUGAUUGUUUCCAUAGUCCCCAUGAAAGAUUUUCAUAAAUCAUGCAGCAUCCCCUGCCAUGGUAGCCCUGGGACAGAGCACAACUGGCUGGCCUUCAUAGGCACUGAAGCUGCAACCUUCAGUGUGAACAUAAUAGACUUAAGCUGGAUAUGGAUAAUUUCAAUACUUCCAGCUGCAAGACAAAGGAAAUGACUCAGGCUGUGCCCAGUAUGCAAGAGAAACAGGAGAGAGAAAUGUCCUGAUCAAGUGGCAUAAAUGCAUAUUUUCUCAAGGCAAUUAGCGGAGUUUCUCUUACUGUGCCCUCGGGUUCCUUUUGUUGUCAUUAUUGUUUUGCUUUGCUGUUUAAAUUUUAUGUGCAAUUGCAGAGUCAAUGAGAAUCUUUAACAGAGGCGAUCUUGGUCACACUAUAUUAGCGAAUACAAUAUAUGGCCCA